RNAcentral lists this ribosomal RNA (816 nucleotides) under uncultured bacterium. Its description in RNAcentral is "bacterial SSU rRNA". It matches the Rfam family "Bacterial small subunit ribosomal RNA", at positions 8 to 853 of the family's 1533-position model. The record is from RNAcentral.
AGAGUUUGAUCCUGGCUCAGGAUGAACGCUGGCGGCGUGCCUAACACAUGCAAGUCGAGCGAUUUACUUCGGUAAAGAGCGGCGGACGGGUGAGUAACGCGUGGGUAACCUGCCCUGUACACACGGAUAACAUACCGAAAGGUAUGCUAAUACGAGAUAAUAUGCUUUUAUCGCAUGGUAGAAGUAUCAAAGCUUUUGCGGUACAGGAUGGACCCGCGUCUGAUUAGCUAGUUGGUAAGGUAACGGCUUACCAAGGCGACGAUCAGUAGCCGACCUGAGAGGGUGAACGGCCACAUUGGAACUGAGACACGGUCCAAACUCCUACGGGAGGCAGCAGUGGGGAAUAUUGCACAAUGGGCGAAAGCCUGAUGCAGCAACGCCGCGUGAGCGAUGAAGGCCUUCGGGUCGUAAAGCUCUGUCCUCAAGGAAGAUAAUGACGGUACUUGAGGAGGAAGCCCCGGCUAACUACGUGCCAGCAGCCGCGGUAAUACGUAGGGGGCUAGCGUUAUCCGGAAUUACUGGGCGUAAAGGGUGCGUAGGUGGUUUCUUAAGUCAGAGGUGAAAGGCUACGGCUCAACCGUAGUAAGCCUUUGAAACUGGGAAACUUGAGUGCAGGAGAGGAGAGUGGAAUUCCUAGUGUAGCGGUGAAAUGCGUAGAUAUUAGGAGGAACACCAGUUGCGAAGGCGGCUCUCUGGACUGUAACUGACACUGAGGCACGAAAGCGUGGGGAGCAAACAGGAUUAGAUACCCUGGUAGUCCACGCCGUAAACGAUGAGUACUAGCUGUCGGAGGUUACCCCCUUCGGUGGCGCAGCU